UUCAAUGGGAUUAUCCCAUGACAGAUUGCACGCUCUUGUCUCCUCGUUUUCACCAUAGUCUACUCCGAAACCUCUCUCUCUGUCUCUUCAUUUUGUUCUCCAACAACCAAACAACACAAAAGCCUCUUUCAAAUUCAAUCUCAAUUCACCUCUCUCGUAUCCCCAUUUUCUAAUUUUCACUCCAUAAUUUCAUAAUUAAACCCAAACCCAGAUAUGGUAUCAGCAAUGGCUGCCACGUGUUCUCCGACCUCUCUCCAGCUUCGAUUAGCCUUCAACUCCCAUAACUGUAGACGAUCACCUGCAACACUCACACGGGCUUGUGUGAGGAAGAAGAAGAGUGAUAGUAACCUUCGCUUUCUCUUGCUGUCUCAAAAUGAACCGCGACGUAAUGGGAGUUCGUGGGUCGUGUCGAGUUCGUGGACUGAUUCGGAUAAUGGGAGUGAUGAGUCUAUUGAGAAUCAGAGAAAGAAAUGGUUUGGAGGCAUGGUUGGAGCUGGAGUAGCUGGGGUCAUCCUAUUUGCGGGGCUUACCUUUGCAGCAUUGUCUUUAAGCAAGCGGAGCACUUCCAGACCAAAACAAGAGAUGGAACCAUUCACAACUCAGCAGGAAGUUUCAUUGGUCUCUGACAAGGAGGAUGAUAAAGUUGAGGAGAGUGAAAGCAAGGAAAGCAAGAAAGGUAUAGAAACGGAUCUUUCUUCAUCUCCAGAACUUAAUGAAGCACCCAGUGAAAAUAAACUUGGUGACAAUAAGGAGACCUCUGUAGACAGUGUUGAUUAUGCUACUAGGGUCAGUGAUACUGUUGAUAAUGAGCCUGUUCAAGAAAAUUUGCAAUAUGAAUCAAAUUUUGAUGACAAAUCUGUUACUCCUGAAACAACAACCAGCUCAGAGAAUUUGCCCAGUUCUGAUAUUAGUGCAAGUUCCUCUAUAUCAACCUUUGAAAUAGAACAAAACCCUGUUAAUGUAGAACCUAGCAAUGUGCCAGAUAUAACAAAUCUUAACACGGACCACCAGAGUGAAUCGCCUGCCUCAAAGAUAGAUGAGAAUUAUGACUCAUCGUUGAAUUCUUCUAAUUCCAUCAUUUGUGAACCCAGUGAUCCUGUGGGUGUGAAAAUUUCAGAGAGUUCACCCAUGGAUACAAGUUCAGAACCUCAAAUUGUCCCCCAAGAUGAUAUGGAGACUGUAGCCUCAUUUUUAACCAAAGAAAAUCUUGAUCUGAGCAAUACAACCCAGGAUUCAGCUGAGAGAAAUAGUUCCCUGGAAGUGAAUCACUUAGAUGAAAGAGAUUCCUCAGAAACAAUUUCCGAGUCAGCUUCAGUCGACCCAUUUGCAAACACAGACGUCAUUAUUGCUAAUAAUGAGAUGAAGGAAAGCAAACCAUUUUUUGAACCACCAACUCCUGAAAUUUCCUUCUCAGCUGGUAUACCUGCUCCAUCUGCAGUUUCUGCAGCCUUGCAGGUGCUUCCUGGAAAGGUUCUAGUUCCUGCAGUUGUUGAUCAGGUUCAGGGGCAGGUAUUAGCUGCACUGCAAGUUUUGAAGGUUAUUGAGGCGGAUAUUCAAUCCAGUGAUCUAUGUACCCGGCGUGAAUUUGCUCGUUGGUUAGUGACUGCUAGCAGUGCUCUUUCAAGGAGCACGGUGUCAAAAGUAUAUCCUGCAAUGUACAUAGAGAAUUUUACUGAACUUGCAUUUGAUGAUAUCACGCCUGAUGACCCUGAUUUUUCAUCCAUUCAAGGCUUAGCUGAAGCAGGACUUAUCUCAAGCAAGCUUUCAAGUGGUGGUUUGCUUUCUUCUUCAGUUGAAAACCAAGGUCCAUUUUACUUUGCUGCUGAAAGCCCUUUGUCACGCCAGGAUCUUGUCAGUUGGAAGAUGGCCCUUGAGAAAAGACAAUUUCCAGAAGCUGAUAAAAAGAUGCUGUACAAAGUUUCUGGGUUCAGAGAUAUUGACAAGUUAAACCCGGAUGCAUGGCCUGCUCUUGUGGCUGACUUGUCUGCAGGAGAUCAAGGAAUUAUAUCACUUGCAUUUGGUUGCACGAGAUUGUUCCAGCCAGAUAAACCUGUCACAAAGGCCCAAGCUGCUGUUGCUCUUGCAACUGGUGAGGCUUCUGACAUAGUUAGUGAGGAGCUUGCACGUAUUGAAGCAGAAGCUGUGGCAGAAAAUGUCGUUUCUGCCCACAAUGCUUUAGUAGCUCAAGUUGAACAGGAUGUAAAUGCAAGUUUUGAGAAGGAGCUUUCCAUUGAGAGGGAAAAGAUUAAUGCUAUAGAGAAAAUGGCUGAAGAGGCAAGGUGCGAAUUAGAAACAUUAAGAGCUGAGAGAGAGAAGGAUGAUAUUGCCUUGAUGAAGGAGCGUGCUGCUAUUGAAUCUGAAAUGGAAGUUCUUUCAAAGUUAAGGCGUGAAUUGGAGGAGCAAUUGCAAAGCCUUUUGAGCAACAAGGUGGAGAUAUCAUAUGAAAAGGAAAGGAUUAGCAAACUUCAAAAAGAAGCAGAGAGUGAAAAGCAGGAGAUCUCUAGAUUACAGUAUGACCUAGAGGUUGAGCGGAAAGCCUUGUCAAUGGCCAGGGCAUGGGCUGAAGACGAGGCAAAAAGAGCAAGAGAGCAGGCAAAAGCCCUUGAAGAGGCUAGAUAUCGGUGGGAGAAGCAUGGCAUCAAGGUGGUGGUUGACAGUGAUCUUAAUGAAGAGAGUUCUACUGGAGUUACAUGGCUGACUGCUGGAAAGCAAGUCUCUUCUGUUGAAGGAACUGUUAACAGGGCUGAGAACUUGGUGGACAGGCUCAAGCUAAUGGCAGAUGACAUUAGAGGGAAAUCUCGAGUAGUACUUGAUAAAAUCAUUCAGAAAAUACUGGUCUUAAUCUCAGUUCUGAAGGAGUGGAUUGCAGAGGCAUGUGCGAGGACCAAAGAACUUAAAGAAGCCACCAUCUCAAAGACAUGGGCAUCAAUACACGAGUUGCAGCAGAACACAACUGAAUUUAGUUCUGCCAUCAAGGAGAAGACGAUAGGAUCAAUGCAAGAGUUGAAGCAGCACACUGCAGAAUUUGGUUCAGCUGUCAAGGAAGGCACAAAGCGGGUGACAGAAGAUUGCAGGGAAGGAGUGGAGAAACUGACGCAGAAGUUCAAAUCCUGAAUGCUCCCCCAGACUCCCUGUCCCUUCCCACUGUACCAGUAAUAAAUUUUGCAGGUUUCACUUCUAAUCAAGAAUUCCGCUAUGACUUUUGCCAAGAUUCUAUGGUUCAUCACUAUUCUCGAACCCCAAAAUGCAAGAUUGAUAGCUUAAACGCAUGCAUCUCUCAAAUGUUUGUGCAGCUGGAAACCUACCCGUGCCAGGUCUAGAUAGUGUUUGAUAUGCUUAGAUAAUUGUUUGAUAUGCUAGAUAGUAUUAAUUAGAUUGGACUUAACUAGAGUUGGACUAGACAAAUAACUUUUUUGUCUUGUGUUUAGGAUGCAUUGGACUAAUUUGGACUGGACAAUCUUGUGUUUAGAAUGCAUUGUACUGGAUUGAACAAUUAAGUAAAAAACCAAAAUGAUUAGGUUUUCAACUA
This is an RNA transcript of Populus trichocarpa (black cottonwood), 3529 nucleotides long. RefSeq lists it as uncharacterized. The transcript has 11 exons. The record is from RefSeq and is a predicted model, not a curated record. Lineage: Eukaryota; Viridiplantae; Streptophyta; Magnoliopsida; Malpighiales; Salicaceae.